RNAcentral lists this long non-coding RNA (223 nucleotides) under Lathyrus oleraceus (garden pea). Its description in RNAcentral is "Pisum sativum (pea) long non-coding RNA (PSAT_LNC011143)". The record is from RNAcentral. Lineage: Eukaryota; Viridiplantae; Streptophyta; Magnoliopsida; Fabales; Fabaceae.
UUUCUUUCCCUUCUCCAUAGUCCAAAAAAGAAUGGUCUAUCACUCCAUAAUUAAUGACUUAAUAUUAUUUUACAAAUGAAAAAGGAUAAACAUUUAAUCUAAUUAAUUUUUUUUAGUAAAAUUAAAAUUCUCAAACAAUUUUUUUUUAAAUUAUUUACAAAUAAUUAAUAAAAUAACAUAAAAUAUAUUUAAUUUUUUUAGACCUUGUACCACACCAACUUCG